RNAcentral lists this long non-coding RNA (837 nucleotides) under Anser brachyrhynchus (Pink-footed goose). RNAcentral describes it as "lncRNA (ENSABRG00000006181.1)". The record is from RNAcentral. Lineage: Eukaryota; Metazoa; Chordata; Aves; Anseriformes; Anatidae.
UGCCUUAGUUUUGGAAUCACUAAAAAUAACCUCAUUGAUAAAAAGGCAAGCAGAAGCUGCAGCUGGUGCUCUGCAGCAAGCAUGGGUGGGGCAGAGCCCACGGGAAGCGCGGGGGCACGACUUGGUGGGAGCUGCUCAUGGGGGUACCCAGCCUCCCGAGUAAGAAGGCUGUCACAACAUCGGGACUGGCACUGCUUAUUUGCAGUAUGCCAUCAGUUUAGAUCGUGUGGAAAGUGGGACCCAAACUCCGCUCCACUUAACCCAAAGCACUGCAUAUGAGAUGCCUCAGCAAGCUCUGUUUCCAUGGAAAUGAGCGUUAGUGUUAGCUUCCCCCAGCAAAGUGAAUCUAUCAGACCGACCUCAGCAAAACAGUACUUCCCAGUGAUUUUCAGAAUCCAGGAGCAAUUCAGCAUGGCGAACAAUGGCAAGCAAGACAUGUCAUCAAUUAAUUCAGUUCCCUGCAUUUUGCAACGAGGUGAAAUAACUGUUCAGUCUUGCAAGAGGACAGGCACUGCAAAAUCUUCAUGCUUCUGGAUUUCUUUCAUGGAGGUGAUGUCCAGUAGGGACCAGCUGAUGUGACCUUCUCGUGUCUGCAGACUUUACCUGAAAAGCUGGAUUAAAGCACAUUUUAUAGAAAAUCACUUCUCAAAGACUGGAGGCUGUUAUGAACUUACAGCCUCUGAUAAACUGAUACAAUGUUUAAUUACCUUCACAGCUAGGAAAUUAUAUGCUAUUUUAAGAAACAAAGCUGUUUGGUUUUUUUUCCCCUUUAUUUUCAGUUUCCAGUUGUUGGAUAUUCCAGUGUUUUUGCCUACAAGACUGAAAAACUGACCUCUA